This 537-nucleotide ribosomal RNA is filed under the name uncultured bacterium. RNAcentral describes it as "bacterial LSU rRNA". It matches the Rfam family "Bacterial large subunit ribosomal RNA", at positions 641 to 1181 of the family's 2925-position model. The record is from RNAcentral.
CGAGCUUAACCGAAUAGGGGAGGCGCAGCGAAAGCGAGUCUGAACAGGGCGUUCAGUAGCUGGGCGUAGACCCGAACCGGAUGAUCUAUCCAUGGCCAGGUUGAAGGUGCGGUAACACGCACUGGAGGACCGAACCACUAGCGUUGCAAAACUAGGGGAUGAGCUGUGGAUAGGGGUGAAAGGCUAAACAAAUCCGGAGAUAGCUGGUUCUCCUCGAAAACUAUUUAGGUAGUGCCUCGUGUAUCACUCUCGGGGGUAGAGCACUGUAAUCGUUGGGGGGGUCGUCUAGAUCUACCCCGCGAUAGCAAACUCCGAAUACCGAGAAGUGCAAGCACGGGAGACAGACAUCGGGUGCUAACGUCCGGUGUCAAGAGGGAAACAACCCAGACCGCCAGCUAAGGUCCCUAAUAUGUGCUAAGUGGUAAACGAAGUGGGAAGGCAUAGACAGCUAGGAAGUUGGCUUAGAAGCAGCCAUCCUUUAAAGAAAGCGUAAUAGCUCACUAGUCGAGUCGUCCUGCGCGGAAGAUGUAACGGGGC